RNAcentral lists this small RNA (529 nucleotides) under uncultured Cryptococcus. Its description in RNAcentral is "eukaryotic LSU rRNA". The stretch from base 177 to 330 matches the Rfam family "5.8S ribosomal RNA". Lineage: Eukaryota; Fungi; Basidiomycota; Tremellomycetes. The record is from RNAcentral.
CUUGGUCAUUUAGAGGAAGUAAAAGUCGUAACAAGGUUUCCGUAGGUGAACCUGCGGAAGGAUCAUUAGUGAACGCCCUCACGGGCUUAUAACUAUUCCAAACCUCUGUGAACCGUGCCCUUCGGGGCUAUUUUACAAACAUGGUGUAAUGAACGUCAUAUAUCAUAACAAAACAAAACUUUCAACAACGGAUCUCUUGGCUCUCGCAUCGAUGAAGAACGCAGCGAAAUGCGAUAAGUAAUGUGAAUUGCAGAAUUCAGUGAAUCAUCGAAUCUUUGAACGCACCUUGCGCCCUCUGGUAUUCCGGAGGGCAUGCCUGUUUGAGUGUCAUGUAGACUCAAUCCCUCGGGUUUCCGAGGAGAUUGGACUUGGGUGUUGCCGCUCUGCCGGCUCGCCUUAAAAGACUUAGCGGGAUAGCACCGUAGUCGGCGUAAUAAGUUUCGUCGGUGAAGGUUGUGAUGACUGCUUACAAUCGCCCUCGGGCAAUUUUUGACUCUGACCUCAAAUCAGGUAGGACUACCCGCUGAAC